UACCUGGAGGAAGAGAAAGCAAAUGCGAUUCCCUGAGUAGCGGCGAGCGAAACGGGAACAGCCCAAACCAAGAGGCUUGCCUCUUGGGGUUGUAGGACACUCUAUACGGAGUUACAAAAGGACAGAUUAGGCGAAGCGACUUGGAACGGUCCGCCACAGCGGGUAACAGCCCCGUAGCCGAAAACCUGUCCCCUCCAGAGUGGAUCCUGAGUACGGCGGAACACGUGAAAUUCCGUCGGAAUCCGGGAGGACCAUCUCCCAAGGCUAAAUACUCCCUAGUG
Molecule: ribosomal RNA, 281 nt
Filed under: Planomicrobium sp. Y74
Lineage: Bacteria; Bacillati; Bacillota; Bacilli; Caryophanales; Caryophanaceae
Description: partial 23S ribosomal RNA
Rfam family: Bacterial large subunit ribosomal RNA
Source: RNAcentral